RNAcentral lists this ribosomal RNA (429 nucleotides) under Triticum aestivum (bread wheat). RNAcentral describes it as "partial small subunit ribosomal RNA". Lineage: Eukaryota; Viridiplantae; Streptophyta; Magnoliopsida; Poales; Poaceae. The record is from RNAcentral.
AUGACUAGGGAUAACCUUAGAAAGAGACACAUCAUCAAACCCCUUGAUUGUGUUUACUGCUUGGAACAAGAGUCUUGUUAUCACCUAUUUUUUGAAUGUAUAGUUGCUAAACAUCUCUGGGCGGAAUAUUUCUCUAGUCAGAUUGGCUCAUCCUUCGAAUAUGUCGCCAGAUUCUGGAUUGCUACCAAAAAUUGCUCAGUUUUAAAUACUAUUAGCUCAGCUGUCCUUUGGUGCCUCUGGAAAUAUAGGAAUGCUAUGUUUUUCAGUAACACCUCCUGGAUUUCCAUUCCGCGGGUCUUGAGGUUGAUCAGGAACAUGGUGAGGAACUGGGUGAUUCUCUCCUCCGGAUCGGACAAGGACAAGUUGAUGAGCUUCGUGGAAACCCUAACAAGAUCCCUCCAGAAACCAUUGGUGAUCAAUUGUGGCUGA